RNAcentral lists this ribosomal RNA (465 nucleotides) under Vreelandella stevensii. Its description in RNAcentral is "partial 16S ribosomal RNA". It matches the Rfam family "Bacterial small subunit ribosomal RNA", at positions 338 to 795 of the family's 1533-position model. Lineage: Bacteria; Pseudomonadati; Pseudomonadota; Gammaproteobacteria; Oceanospirillales; Halomonadaceae. The record is from RNAcentral.
CCUACGGGCGGCAGCAGUGGGGAAUAUUGGACAAUGGGCGAAAGCCUGAUCCAGCCAUGCCGCGUGUGUGAAGAAGGCCUUCGGGUUGUAAAGCACUUUCAGUGGGGAAGAAAGCCUUGGGGCUAAUACCCUCGAGGAAGGACAUCACCCACAGAAGAAGCACCGGCUAACUCCGUGCCAGCAGCCGCGGUAAUACGGAGGGUGCGAGCGUUAAUCGGAAUUACUGGGCGUAAAGCGCGCGUAGGCGGUCUGAUAAGCCGGUUGUGAAAGCCCCGGGCUCAACCUGGGAACGGCAUCCGGAACUGUCAGGCUAGAGUGCAGGAGAGGAAGGUAGAAUUCCAGGUGUAGCGGUGAAAUGCGUAGAGAUCGGGAGGAAUACCAGUGGCGAAGGCGGCCUUCUGGACUGACACUGACGCUGAGGUGCGAAAGCGUGGGUAGCAAACAGGAUUAGAUACCCCAGUAGUC